UUUCUUGUCCGCAGCCUCUACCCCAGGCUGGGUGCCCAGGCGGUCUCCGGAGAGGAGGAGGAGGAGGAGGAGGAGGAGGGGUAGGAAGGAGGAGGAGGGAGCCGAGGAAGACGCGGAGCCUCCACCCGCCAGCCGGGAGCACUUGCAGCAGGUGCAGGAGGCUGGGCCCCGGGUUUGCACUCUGCGGCGGUGCCUGGGCCUCAGGAAGCCGACCCGGGAAGACCCGCCAGCCCGAAAAAAGUGAGCUGGAGAGAGGAAUAGAAGCGCCGGUUUCUGCUUAUUAUUCGCUGUUUCUGAUGGCCAAGAGCAAGGGGCAGUCAAGGCCAUUAAUGCAGAACUGGAAUUCAGCGAGGAGCGCCUCUUCUGCAGACUGCCCCCCGCUAGGGCGCGGGGAGGGCACCGGUUCCUCUGCGCGGAAAGGAGGGGGAGAAAGUCGCUAAGAGAAAAAUCCGGUGUGGCCCAGAUCUCCGGGUGCACAUUCCCGGGAGAGGAGCGCGCCGUUUCCAGCGCGGUGCAGCGCUCCGAGCGGCGGCCACCAGCGACCCAGCGCGCGAGCACAACGCGACCCACGAAGGGGGCUCGCGGGAGGCACCAAGAAGCACCGGCGCAUCAGAGCGGAGAACCCGCAGCCGAACCUUGCCGGGGCGCACCCAGCACCGGGGCGGGGGCCAGGACUUCGCUUCCACCGCAUGGGAUGAGCUGUGCAAGGUGGAGGAAGGCGGCGCAGAGCCGGGGGACGAAGCCCGGACCGGACAGGAAUCCCGGGGAGAAAGAAGGGAGCCCCAGCCUGGCCAGGAGGGGCAUUUUUGUCAGAGGGGGUAUUGGGGGAGUCCCUGAGCGCCGCGGAUUCCAGGGGGGCAGCGCGGACGCCCAUUCCCUGUUCUCCCCCGAGAGAAGCGGUUCCCGUGGGGCAGGAAGGGCUCUCAGCUCUUUGAGAUUGAGAUUCACAGGAAUCUAA
RNAcentral lists this long non-coding RNA (958 nucleotides) under Canis lupus familiaris (dog). Its description in RNAcentral is "lncRNA (ENSCAFG00845015212.1)". The record is from RNAcentral. Lineage: Eukaryota; Metazoa; Chordata; Mammalia; Carnivora; Canidae.